RNAcentral lists this long non-coding RNA (422 nucleotides) under Trifolium pratense (red clover). Its description in RNAcentral is "long non-coding RNA (TPRA_LNC006661)". Lineage: Eukaryota; Viridiplantae; Streptophyta; Magnoliopsida; Fabales; Fabaceae. The record is from RNAcentral.
AAUUUAAAUUUUAAUUGAUUAAUUAAAUAUAGAGUCUGCCUUUUGGGACACUAUGAGACGCUACGGAAAAAAGAAGAAAUUCAUAACCUUAGCAUCUGUUGUGGCAGACUCUAUAUUUAAUUAAAUUAAAUAUAAAAAAAGAAACUAAUUGUUAAGCGCCCAAUGUUUUUCACAAAUUUUCAUUUUCCCACAUUUUUUUCAUUCCCAUUCUUAUAAUAACAUUUUAAAUUUUAUAUCAUAAUUUUUUUCUUCACAAAUUUGUUUCUUAACAUACAUAUUUUCCCAAAAACAUAACAUUUCACAAAAACGAAAAGCAAAAUGAGUGAGACGAUUCCGACGACCUAAUCGCACAAUACACUGCCGUUCAAUCCUCCUCCGCUGUUCAAUCUCCUCCGCCACCGUUUAUUCUCCUUCGCCACNNN